This 230-nucleotide long non-coding RNA is filed under the name Carica papaya (papaya). RNAcentral describes it as "long non-coding RNA (CPAP_LNC002168)". The record is from RNAcentral. Lineage: Eukaryota; Viridiplantae; Streptophyta; Magnoliopsida; Brassicales; Caricaceae.
UAGAACGAUCUUCACUAACUUCUAAAGGGAGUUCAGGUAGUGAACUUAUUCACAACCCACUUGUUGAUUGAGAUCUAGGUCUUGGUCCUCUUGAUCUAAAAUUUUUAAUGAAAUGGUAAGCUACACUAACCCAGUAAGAAUAUCACACUACUCACCGAUACAGAAACUGAAGAUUGGUAAAAAUUAUAAAAAUAACCAAUAGAGCUCUUGAUUUAAGUAAAUUCAUUUAU